GGGUCAGUAGGUUGGUCGUGCCACCGGUACGUACUGGUCUCACUGAUUCCUCCUUCCUGAAGAACCGUAAUGCCAUUAAUUUGGUGUUGCGGGGAAACAGGACUGUUACUUUGAAAAAAUUAGAGUGUUUAAAGCAAGCUAACGCUUGAAUACAUUAGCAUGGAAUAAUGUAAUAGGACGAUCGAUCCUAUUUUGUUAGUUUCUAGGAUUGACGUA
Molecule: ribosomal RNA, 216 nt
Filed under: Glomeromycotina sp.
Lineage: Eukaryota; Fungi; Glomeromycota
Description: partial small subunit ribosomal RNA
Rfam family: Eukaryotic small subunit ribosomal RNA (bases 40-216)
Source: RNAcentral